UUUUGGACAAUGGGCGAAAGCCUGAUCCAGCAAUGCCGCGUGCAGGAAGAAGGCCUUCGGGUUGUAAACUGCUUUUGUACGGAACGAGACGGCCUUUUCUAAUAAAGAGGGCUAAUGACGGUACCGUAAGAAUAAGCACCGGCUAACUACGUGCCAGCAGCCGCGGUAAUACGUAGGGUGCGAGCGUUAAUCGGAAUUACUGGGCGUAAAGCGUGCGCAGGCGGUUCUAUAAGACAGAUGUGAAAUCCCCGGGCUCAACCUGGGAAUGGCAUUUGUGACUGUAGAGCUAGAGUACGGUAGAGGGGGAUGGAAUUCCGCGUGUAGCAGUGAAAUGCGUAGAUAUGCGGAGGAACACCGAGGCGAAGGCAAUCCCCGGACCUGUACUGACGCUCAUGCACGAAA
Molecule: ribosomal RNA, 402 nt
Filed under: uncultured bacterium
Lineage: Bacteria
Description: bacterial SSU rRNA
Rfam family: Bacterial small subunit ribosomal RNA
Source: RNAcentral